GAUGAACGCUGGCGGCGUGCCUAAUACAUGCAAGUCGAGCGAACAGACGAUGAGCUUGCUCCUCUGACGUUAGCGGCGGACGGGUGAGUAACACGUGGAUAACCUACCUAUAAGACUGGGAUCACUUCGGGAAACCGGAGCUAAUACCGGAUAAUAUAUUGAACCGCAUGGUUCAAUAGUGAAAGACGGUUUUGCUGUCGGUUGUAGAUGGAUCCGCGCUUCAUUAGCUAGUUGGUAGGGUAGCGGCUUACCAAGGCAACGACGGGUAGCCGGCCGGAGAGGGUGAACGGCCACAGUGGGAGGGAGAUAGGGACCAGAAUCCUACGGGAGGCAGCAGUGGGGAAUAUUGCACAAUGGGAGGAAGCCUGAUGGAGCAACGCCGGGUGCGGGAUGACGGCCGUCGGGUUGUAAAACGCUUUCGCCUGGGAAGAAGCGUGAGGGACGGUAAUGGGUAAAGAAGCAACGGCGAACUAAAUG
Molecule: ribosomal RNA, 477 nt
Filed under: uncultured bacterium
Lineage: Bacteria
Description: partial 16S ribosomal RNA
Rfam family: Bacterial small subunit ribosomal RNA
Source: RNAcentral